This 248-nucleotide unclassified non-coding RNA is filed under the name Hevea brasiliensis (rubber tree). The record is from RNAcentral. Lineage: Eukaryota; Viridiplantae; Streptophyta; Magnoliopsida; Malpighiales; Euphorbiaceae.
AAAAACUGGCUGAAGAACCUCUAUGCGGACGCGGGCAUAUCGUUAUUUAUGCUUUUCGUCGCCUUGGGAGGGGCCUCGAUCUUCGGGGUUGUUCUUUUUUUCAUUGUGGGCGCAGAGGCCGCGGGGAAAAUUCCGACCCGAUGGGCUGCUGCUCUUAUGUUUACGAUAGCGUUUCUGAUUAUUAUCGGAGUCGUGACGUACGUGCGGCGAAUGGAAUUGCCGAAGCAAUAGCGUCAGCCGGGCGGCUU